This 268-nucleotide signal recognition particle RNA is filed under the name Candidatus Lindowiibacteriota bacterium. RNAcentral's name for it is "signal recognition particle sRNA large type". It matches the Rfam family "Bacterial large signal recognition particle RNA". From Rfam's summary of the family: The signal recognition particle (SRP) is a universally conserved ribonucleoprotein involved in the co-translational targeting of proteins to membranes. Archaeal SRP consists of a 7S RNA and homologues of the eukaryotic SRP19 and SRP54 proteins. In most bacteria, the SRP consists of a 4.5S RNA and the Ffh protein (a homologue of the eukaryotic SRP54 protein). The record is from RNAcentral. Lineage: Bacteria; Candidatus Lindowiibacteriota.
GUGCGUCUAGGUGGGGAGUUAGCGGUGUCCUGUAUCCGAAAUCCGCUUAUGCGGGACUGAAUGCCCGAUUUGAGGGAUAGUUUUUCCACGGAAAGAGAGUGUCCAGAGGAUGCUGAUGGUCGGCAGCUGCGCAACGGUACGCCGUGAACUGGGUCAGGCCUUGACCGGAGCAGCCCUAAGCAGUUGUCUCGUGUGCCGCAGUCCAAGCUGGCCUGAGUCUGAUGGCACUAGGUCGCUGAGGAAUACUAUUUCGAUGUCGGGGACGCAC